RNAcentral lists this ribosomal RNA (427 nucleotides) under uncultured archaeon. RNAcentral's name for it is "bacterial SSU rRNA". It matches the Rfam family "Archaeal small subunit ribosomal RNA", at positions 474 to 903 of the family's 1478-position model. The record is from RNAcentral.
UACCAGCUCUCCGAGUGGUGUGGAUGUUUAUUGGGCCUAAAGCAUCCGUAGCUGGCUGGGCAAGUCCCCUGUUAAAUCCACCGAUUUAAUCGUUGGUGUGCGGGGGAUACUGUUCGGCUAGGGGACGGGAGAGGCCGACGGUAUUUCCGGGGUAGGGGUGAAAUCCUAUAAUCCCGGGAAGACCACCAGUGGCGAAGGCUGUCGGCUAGAACGCGCCCGACGGUGAGGGAUGAAAGCUGGGGGAGCGAACCGGAUUAGAUACUCGGGUAGUCCCAGCUGUAAACGAUGCAGGCUAGGUGUUUGGGCGGCCACGUGCCGCUCUAGUGCCGCAAGGAAGCUGUUAAGCCUGCCGCCUGGGGAGUACGGCCGCAAGGCUGAAACUUAAGGAAUUGGCGGGGAGCACCACAAGGGGUGAAGCUUGCGGUUU